RNAcentral lists this ribosomal RNA (41 nucleotides) under Metarhizium sp. 2 DT-2012. RNAcentral's name for it is "Metacordyceps sp. 2 DT-2012 partial 28S ribosomal RNA". The record is from RNAcentral. Lineage: Eukaryota; Fungi; Ascomycota; Sordariomycetes; Hypocreales; Clavicipitaceae.
GACCUCGAAUCAGGUAGGACUACCCGCUGAACUUAAGCAUA